Molecule: ribosomal RNA, 398 nt
Filed under: uncultured bacterium
Lineage: Bacteria
Description: bacterial SSU rRNA
Rfam family: Bacterial small subunit ribosomal RNA
Source: RNAcentral
AACGAACGCUGGCGGCGUGCCUAACACAUGCAAGUCGUACGUGAAAGUCUUCGGAUGAGUAAAGUGGCGCACGGGUGAGUAACACGUAGGUGACCUGCCUUAUAGAGGGGAAUAACCAGAAGAAAUUUUGGCUAAUGCCGCAUACGAAGCACGGUUUUAAGACUGUGCUUGAAAGAAUGCCUCUGCAUAUGCAUUCGCUAUUAGAUGGGCCUGCGGGACAUUAGCUAGUUGGUGGGGUAAAGGCCUACCAAGGCAACGAUGUCUAUCCGGUCUGAGAGGAUGAUCGGACACACUGGAACUGAGACACGGUCCAGACUCCUACGGGAGGCAGCAGUGGGGAAUAUUGCGCAAUGGGGGAAACCCUGACGCAGCAACGCCGCGUGGGUGAUGAAGGCCUU